Mus musculus (house mouse) is the source of this 4746-nucleotide RNA transcript. It is a transcript of the gene named chromobox 7, with no coding region annotated. The record is from RefSeq and is marked validated. NCBI's taxonomy places the organism in Eukaryota, Metazoa, Chordata, Mammalia, Rodentia, Muridae. The transcript has 7 exons.
UCUGGGGACAGGGACAUGUCAUCCCCUGCCUUCUGGCUUCCUUUGCACUUGAUUUGAAAAAAAAAAAAAAAAAGCUCAGGUGCCAAUGUAACAUUCUUUUUCUCUUUUUUUUCUUCGCCAGACAUAGGUGCUUAGAGUUUAUUCUAAGAAUAGGGAACCCCAGAAUGCUUCUAAGCACUGAGUGACUCGGUCGGGUCUGGUGGUAGAAAGCGCACUGCGAUCACUGGGCCCCGUGGGGGAGGGGAUUGUUGCUAAGAAUCCAGGCUGUGGGGGGUGGUGAUGUUGAGGGGGAAGCCCUGAGUCUCCUCCAGAAGGUCAGAACAGCAGGAAUUAGGAGGAAAUGGGAGGAGUUGGGGACGACUCGGACCUGUCCUCAACAAUGCCGAAAACUGAAAAGGCUUGGUGCUGGCUCCGGGGUGAGGACUUUUUUCCUUCCACAUUUAGUUGAGGCAAACGGUCAGCAAACCAAGGGCGAGGUGGAAAAACCACUGGAGUCCAGGCUGUUGUGGGAUCUGCAGACGGCAAAAGUGGGUCUCCACCUGCGACGAGGUGUUAGCAGCGCCUAGCCUGGUCCCUCAGGGAAGGGCGCUCGCGGUGCGUUUUCGCAUCACCUACUAAGACUGGUUUGGGUUGAUGGGUGGAAGCGUGCUUGGAGCGGGGGACUCAGAGGCACCUGUUCAGGCCUGCUUAGACUACGUACUCCGGGUGGAAAGCUUUGCUGUCUGUCCCUCCUGCCGCGCGGACCCGGCCGGACCUUGUCUCCUUUGUAGGAAAGGAAACUGGCUGUCCUAAAAUUCACUGUUUUGAACAAAGUGGCCUCGAACUCAUAAUGAUAUGCCUGGCUCUACCUCCCGAGUGCUGGGAUUAAAGGCAUAAAGUACUACCUCCAACUUUAAAGGUUUUGUCUUAUUUCUGAAUAAAUACUUAUGUGUAUGAGUGGUUGUUAGCCUGCGUGUACGUAUGUGCACACUGUGUAUGAGUACAUCAGAGGAUAGUAUGGAAUUCCAUGGAGCCACAGUUGUGAACCAUAAUGUUGGAGGUGGGAACCAACCCAGGUCCUCUGAAAGAGCAGAAGUGCUAUCUCUCCAAUCCUUGUUUCAAUGUAUUUAUUUGUGACAGGGUCUUACAUAGCUAAGGUUGGCCUUGAACUCCUGAUCUUCCUGCCUCAGCUGUCUAAAUACUGAGAUUACUUGCUUGCUAAUCUCGGCUUUAAGGCCACUUCAUUUCGGACCUUCUCAGUCUUUAGGGGGACUUGGGAAGACUGAUCACGUCCAGCCCAGAAGCCGAACUGAGAGAUGGGAUGGACCUUAGACUGCCAGGAGCAUCAGACCUGCUGCCAGCUGCCCAAUUUGGUCAGCAGGCGGGGUUAAGGAGUAGGGCGUGGCUCCGGCAGCGAGGGGGCGGAGCUGACCCUCUGGGCGCUUUCAGAGGCACGCGCGCGCGCACCCGCUCUCUGGCGCUGGGGAAAACGUUGCGCAGGUUCAAAAAUGGAACGUCGGCGGCGUGAGGGAACACUAGGGGGUGUGCGCGCGUGCGCGUGCGCGCCCGGACGAGCCUGACGGGGUCCCCGCCGUCCCGAGCAUCGCGCGCAGCCGCCGCGGCCCCGCAGCUCCACCCCCGGCCCAGCCCGGUCCGGUCCUGGGCCCACUCGCCCGCCGCCCCGCAUGGAGCUGUCAGCCAUAGGCGAGCAGGUGUUUGCGGUGGAGAGCAUCCGGAAGAAGCGCGUGCGGAAGGGCAAAGUUGAAUAUCUGGUGAAGUGGAAAGGAUGGCCCCCCAAGUAUAGCACCUGGGAGCCAGAGGAGCACAUCUUGGACCCUCGCCUUGUCAUGGCCUACGAGGAGAAGGAGGAGAGAGACCGAGCCUCGGGGUAUAGGAAGAGAGGUCCGAAACCCAGGCGGCUUCUGCUACAGCGGCUGUACAGCAUGGACCUGCGGAGCUCCCACAAAGCCAAGGGCAAUGAGAAGCUCUGCUUCUCUCUGGCGCGCCCGCUCCGCAGCGGGAGCCCCAUGGGGGUGGUCAAGGCAGGGGUCGCUGAGCUGGUGGAGAAGGGCCCCUUGGUGCCCACCCUGCCAUUCCCGCUCCGCAAGGCGCGCAAAGCCCACAAGUACCUGCGGCUCUCACGCAAGAAGUUCCCGCCACGCGGGCCCCACCUGGAGAGUCACAGCCAUCGACGGGAGCUCUCCCUGCAGGAGUCAGCAGCCCCAGACGUUGUGCAGACCCCCGGAGACUGGGAGCCUAUGGAGCAAGCCCCCGAGGAGGAGGCAGAAGCAGACCUGACCAAUGGGCCGCCUCCCUGGACACCCACGCUCCCCUCAAGUGAAGUUACCGUGACUGACAUCACCGCCAACUCCGUCACCGUCACCUUCCGCGAGGCUCAAGCCGCCGAGGGCUUCUUCCGAGACCGCAACGAGAAGCUGUGAAUAGCGGCUUCCCCUCUUAAAACUGUGCUUCUUGGGGCUUGGGUGAGGAUUUCCAGAGACAGGAGGGGCUGGGAGCAGGAGGCUGAUCCGUGGAGCCGGAGGAGCCCAGGAGGUCCAGACCUUGCCUCAGGCAGUCACCCCAGCUUUCUGGUGGUGUCCCUUCCCUGUCCCUUGCCGUGGGUCUUUACUAUGAACUUUCCACUCCAGCCUUGUGGUGGGACACAGAGGCCGGCCUUGGCCACCGGGGACAGGAUCAGGACAACCGGCACGGGCUGGACCAGGGAAGAGGCUGCCCACCAAGCCUCCUCCGAGUGUGCUGUCUCCCUGCCAUUGGCCUGUGUAGAGAUGCCCAUGAACACAUCCGGACACCCCAACAUGCACACCUUUAGAAAACUGACCAGUUGAACAUGACACCAUUCACAGCACAAACAGAACUUGCCGCGGCACCCUUGCUCCGCCUUGCACGUAGGUCAUGUGACAGGAUCUGUCGGCUGUCAUCUCCGAGCCGCCAAUUGGACCAGGCUUUGGUGUGCAAGGUGCAGAUGCUUCCACACAGGCUCACAGCCACCUGGCCCACCCUUCCUCCCACAGGAGUUCACAUUCUUUCUGACUCAGGUGACUUUCCAGCCCCGCCCCCCAAUUUCUCUGCCCUCUCCUGCCAAUCAGCCGAUCUGGGCACCCAUGGGUGCCAGUGGUAUGUGGGCAGUCAGGGAGGGAGUGUCCCACCACUUUCUCAGGGCAGUCCUUGUCUUCUUUGUCCCCCUCCCCACCCAACCUGAAUGGCAUGGCUAAGGAUGGAUGACCCCUCCCACCUUGUGGGGGUUGAACAUGAAUCAGGUUGCACACAAGUGUGUGGUCCUGAUUUGGCAAGGGGGGGGGUGCGGUUUGCUGGUUUGCACAGGUGCCCUAUAGGCUGACAGCUUCCUACCUGAGGACGGCUCCCUCCCUUGUCGAGAGCACAUUGCUCACACACCCGCUGCUACCAUACGAACCUAUAUGGCUGGGUCCUAGCAGCUACCAAUUCUGCUGUGUCUUUAGGAGGCCAGCAGAGUCAGUAUGAACAAGGGCAGGAUGACUUCUAAACACUACCCUGCCCCGUGUCUGUCUGCGACUCUAUCCUCUUCCUUCUCUAGUCCCUGGUCUCCCCCUCCUUUAGUCUUAAUGGUCCAGGGUUAACUCAGUGCUUCCGUUGGUGGCCGUCAUCUGUGGGUGACCUGAAUCUAGAGGAUGUCUGGGUGGGCCAGAGAGAGGAGAGACAGGAACCUCAGCCAGUAGGCUACAGGAACCUGGAGGUGGGGAGACCUUGGUGUUCUUGAAGCCCCAGCUCCCAGAGAGGUGAGGGUGGCUGGAGCUUUUCUUUGCUGCUGGGUUUGAUGGCCCACCAUAUUGGGGGACAGAAUCCCUUCGGUGUCAUGCUUCCCAUCCCUAGGGGCAUGGGACUAAAUGCCUGUACAAUUUGAAUUUUGAUCAUGAGACCCCAGGGGGGGCUUUCCAAGCAGCUGCCUUCUGUCUUUUGCAGUAGGCGGUGACCUUUUAUCUCACGGGGCCCUUUAUGAAACCCACCAGUCCCUGGAGAUUGUGGACUAGGCUGGAUAUCCCUCAGGGUAGCCAUGUAGCUCUGAACUGCUGGAAACUGGCCGCCUAGGGAGAAUGGCAGAAGGCUUCGAGUGGCUAUACACAGGCUUCUCCUAGCCUGAAGCUACCCAAGUGGACAGUAACACGCCCCCUCUCCACCCACAUACACUAACCCCAUACAGGGCCAGUACUCCAUGAGCCAGCAGUGGCGACCACCUGCCUAUCUCUUAACCCCUCCCCCUGCAUAUUUGAAUGUAGAGGUUGGGUUGAACUUCCCCCUCCCUGGGUUGGGGUGAAGAUGUGCCUCAACCUCUGGUGUGGACACUUGUGCAGUGCCACAGUUGAGCCCAUUUGGCCCACGUGGUUCUCAUCUGGUAAGAUGGUGAUCUUAUUGCCAAGUUCCUUCCACCUCCUGCCUACCGAGGAAGUAGCUCGGUGUCAGCGAGGUGGUAUCGAUUUUGCUUUAUAAAUGGCGGGCCAGACCUGGCCACCAGGUCUUUGCGCAAGACCGCUUCCUUUGCACACAGAAUGAGCUACGAGCUUUGUUCAGACGACCUGAAUGUAUUGGGAGGAAUUGGGCAUAGGCCUUCCCCCGGGGGGAGUGCGAUGGGAAGAGUAAGCAGGUGUAGGCUGCAGUUUUAUUUUUGUACUGAUAUUGGUAAAAGACUGUAUAGCAUCUAUUUAUUUAGAUGAUUUAUCUGAUAGAUGAGGCAAAAAUUAUUAAAAAAUACAUUAAAAUGUCUUUAGAGAC